GUAGGGUGGCAAGCGUUGUCCGGAAUUAUUGGGGCGUAAAGCGCGCGCAGGCGGUCCUUUAAGUCUGAUGUGAAAGCCCACGGCUCAACCGUGGAGGGUCAUUGGAAACUGGGGGACUUGAGUACAGAAGAGGAAAGCGGAAUUCCAAGUGUAGCGGUGAAAUGCGUAGAGAUUUGGAGGAACACCAGUGGCGAAGGCGGCUUUCUGGUCUGUAACUGACGCUGAGGCGCGAAAGCGUGGGGAGCAAACAGGAUUAGAUACCCUGGUAGUCCACGCCGUAAACGAUGAGUGCUAAGUGUUAGGGGGUUUCCGCCCCUUAGUGCUGCAGCUAACGCAUUAAGCACCCCGCCUGGGGAGUACGGCCGCAAGGCUG
RNAcentral lists this ribosomal RNA (373 nucleotides) under uncultured organism. RNAcentral describes it as "partial 16S ribosomal RNA". It matches the Rfam family "Bacterial small subunit ribosomal RNA", at positions 526 to 896 of the family's 1533-position model. The record is from RNAcentral.